Molecule: ribosomal RNA, 467 nt
Filed under: uncultured bacterium
Lineage: Bacteria
Description: partial 16S ribosomal RNA
Rfam family: Bacterial small subunit ribosomal RNA
Source: RNAcentral
GACGAACGCUGGCGGCGUGCUUAACACAUGCAAGUCGAACGGAAAGGCCCUGCUUUUGUGGGGUGCUCGAGUGGCGAACGGGUGAGUAACACGUGAGUAACCUGCCCUUGACUUUGGGAUAACUUCAGGAAACUGGGGCUAAUACCGGAUAGGAGCUCCUGCUGCAUGGUGGGGGUUGGAAAGUUUCGGCGGUUGGGGAUGGACUCGCGGCUUAUCAGCUUGUUGGUGGGGUAGUGGCUUACCAAGGCUUUGACGGGUAGCCGGCCUGAGAGGGUGACCGGCCACAUGGGGAGUGAGAUACGGCCCAGACCCCCACGGGGGGCAGGAGUGGGGAAUAUUGCACAAUGGGCGGAAGCCUGAUGCAGCAACCCCGCGUGCGGGAUGACGGCCUUCGGGUUGUAAACCGCUUUCGCCUGUGACGAAGCGUGAGUGACGGUAAUGGGUAAAGAAGCACCGGCUAACUACGU